GAUGAAUUCUUAGUUUCAGCAUUUUUAUAGUCUAUUUCAUAAAAUAUUUUGACUCUUAUGCAACGGUGUCCAUAUAUUCGCGAUAAAGACAUAUAAUUUGGACACAGUUAUUAAAUCAUCAGCCUAAAGUCUUUAAUAGACCCCAAUCGAACUUCAUUAAUCAAAAACCGCGUUUUAAAUAUAACCAAACAGUCAAAAUAAGCUGGUCAAU
This 211-nucleotide long non-coding RNA is filed under the name Mytilus galloprovincialis (Mediterranean mussel). Lineage: Eukaryota; Metazoa; Mollusca; Bivalvia; Mytilida; Mytilidae. The record is from RNAcentral.